Non-coding RNA from Pelobates cultripes (western spadefoot toad), 1089 nucleotides. Lineage: Eukaryota; Metazoa; Chordata; Amphibia; Anura; Pelobatidae. The record is from the annotation of a GenBank genome assembly.
UUCCAAUAUUACUAACCAGCUGUUUAAGAGUUCUAUUUCAUUGAUUCUUUUGUAUUUGGUCAUCAAUAUGCCCUUUUCCAUUUUUAUUUGCCAUACAACUUGCGCAAUAAUCUUCUGGAUCUUGGGAAUAUUAGUUGUUUUCCAGUUACGUGCAAUAAACAACUUGGCCGCUGUUAUAAUAUGUAAGAUUAUUAUUAAGGCUUUCUUUUCUAAUUUUGUCCAAUUCAAGUUUAAAAGGAUUAAUUCUGGUUCACAUUUGAAUUUAAUUUUUGUAACAUAGUAGAUUAAUCUUAUUAUUCCUUUCCAAUAAUUGGCAAUCAUUCCGCACUGCCACCAUAUGUGGUUUUAACUUCCAGUGCCCCUAUUACAUCUCCAACAAUUUAUAGAAAUAUCCGGAGAAAUCUUUGAAAGUACCUUCUGUGUAAGAUACCACCUAUUCGACAAUUUAAAAUGAACAUCUGUCAAAUUUAAGCAAUGGAUGUGCUCGUAUAGUUUUUUAAGCGAGUUUUCUCCGUGGGUUAUGGGCACUGGGCAUGGCACAUUUGUUUGUUUUUUAAGCAAGUUUGUUUGAUGAGCAUGUUGCUAUAAUCUUUUUUUAUUAUUCUUUGCUCCUACGUCUAUCUAGCUAUUUUGAAGGGCGAGAGGCUUUUUAACUUAAUUCCUGCCAGUUCCUUUUGUCUGGCAUUAGACCUACUAUUAUAAUUUUUCCUCUCAUCCUCAUACUUUGCUAGCAUUUGUCUCCCAGGUAUAUAUUAAGGUUAUAGGUUCAUAUACUCCUAUCCUCUAUCUAGGUUAUGUGGUAUCUUACUUCUACCAUACAUUAAUAUGUCUCUAGAUACUUAGGAAAAAUUUUAUCUUGUUUGAACGACAUCUAUUAUGGUUUUUCUUUAGGGAUAAGCAGUUUCUACUGUGCCCUUUUGGACAGUGCAGGCUAUUAUAAUUUGUUCCUAAUACCUAUUAACCAUACAGGUUAUGUUUUUUACCGGGAUAUACCUUUUCUUUAUUUAGCAGACUCUAUACAGUAUAUGGUCUAGCAGAGUUCUCACACUGAGAGCCAACUUAAAGGAACACUAUAGUCACCUAAAUUAC